Molecule: ribosomal RNA, 253 nt
Filed under: uncultured bacterium
Lineage: Bacteria
Description: partial 16S ribosomal RNA
Rfam family: Bacterial small subunit ribosomal RNA
Source: RNAcentral
UACGGAGGGGGCUAGCGUUGUUCGGAAUUACUGGGCGUAAAGCGCGCGUAGGCGGACCUGCAAGUCGGGGGUGAAAGCCCGAGGCUCAACCUCGGAACUGCCUUCGAUACUGCGGGUCUCGAGUCCGGGAGAGGUGAGUGGAAUUCCUAGUGUAGAGGUGAAAUGCGUAGAUAUCAAGAGGAACACCUGAGGUGAAGACGGGUUGCUGGGCUGACACUGACGCUGAGGCGCGAAAGCUAGGGUAGCAAACGGG